RNAcentral lists this ribosomal RNA (497 nucleotides) under uncultured bacterium. RNAcentral's name for it is "bacterial SSU rRNA". It matches the Rfam family "Bacterial small subunit ribosomal RNA", at positions 29 to 517 of the family's 1533-position model. The record is from RNAcentral.
AUUGAACGCUGGCGGCAUGCUUUACACAUGCAAGUCGAACGGCAGCGGGGGCUUCGGCCUGCCGGCGAGUGGCGAACGGGUGAGUAAUGCAUCGGAACGUGCCCAUGUCGUGGGGGAUAACGUAGCGAAAGCUACGCUAAUACCGCAUACGCCCUGAGGGGGAAAGCGGGGGAUUCUUCGGAACCUCGCGCGAUUGGAGCGGCCGAUGUCGGAUUAGCUAGUAGGUGAGGUAAAGGCUCACCUAGGCGACGAUCCGUAGCGGGUCUGAGAGGAUGAUCCGCCACACUGGGACUGAGACACGGCCCAGACUCCUACGGGAGGCAGCAGUGGGGAAUUUUGGACAAUGGGCGAAAGCCUGAUCCAGCCAUGCCGCGUGAGUGAAGAAGGCCUUCGGUUGUAAGACUCUUCUAGCCGGAAGAAAUACGCGCAGGAUAAUAACUCUGCGUGGAUGACGGUACCGGAAGAAGAAGCACCGGCUAACUACGUGCCAGCAGCCG